This 253-nucleotide ribosomal RNA is filed under the name uncultured bacterium. RNAcentral describes it as "partial 16S ribosomal RNA". It matches the Rfam family "Bacterial small subunit ribosomal RNA", at positions 524 to 776 of the family's 1533-position model. The record is from RNAcentral.
UACGUAGGGUGCAAGCGUUAAUCGGAAUUACUGGGCGUAAAGCGUGCGCAGGCGGUUAUGUAAGACAGGUGUGAAAUCCCAGGGCUUAACCUUGGAACUGCAUUUGUGACUGCAUGGCUAGAGUUUGGCAGAGGGGGGUAGAAUUCCACGUGUAGCAGUGAAAUGCGUAGAUAUGUGGAGGAACACCGAUGGCGAAGGCAGCCCCCUGGGUCAAGACUGACGCUCAUGCACGAAAGCGUGGGGAGCAAACAGG